GAAGGGGGCUAGCGUUGUCCGGAAUUACUGGGCGUAAAGCGCGCGUAGGCGGUUACGCAAGUCGGGCGUGAAAGCCCGGGGCUCAACCCCGGAACUGCGUCCGAGACUGCGUGACUUGAGGCCGGAAGAGGAGAGCGGAAUUCCCAGUGUAGAGGUGAAAUUCGUAGAUAUUGGGAAGAACACCGGUGGCGAAGGCGGCUCUCUGGUCCGGUUCUGACGCUGAGGCGCGAAAGCGUGGGGAGCAAACAGGAUUAGAUACCCUGGUAGUCCACGCCGUAAACGAUGAGUGCCAGACGUCGGGGGGCUCGCCCCUCGGUGUCGACGCUAACGCAUUAAGCACUCCGCCUGGGGAGUACGGCCGCAAGGUUA
RNAcentral lists this ribosomal RNA (369 nucleotides) under uncultured bacterium. Its description in RNAcentral is "bacterial SSU rRNA". It matches the Rfam family "Bacterial small subunit ribosomal RNA", at positions 527 to 896 of the family's 1533-position model. The record is from RNAcentral.